This 322-nucleotide ribosomal RNA is filed under the name uncultured eukaryote. Its description in RNAcentral is "partial 18S ribosomal RNA". It matches the Rfam family "Eukaryotic small subunit ribosomal RNA", at positions 1470 to 1796 of the family's 1831-position model. The record is from RNAcentral.
CCCUUAGAUGUUCUGGGCUGCACGCGCGCUACACUGAGUGGAUCAGCGGGUCAGGUUGCGCGAAAGCGUUUCCUAAUCUUUAAAUCCGCUCGUGAUGGGGAUUGACGGUUGCAAUUUUCUGUCAUGAACGAGGAAUACCUUGUAAGCGCGGGUCAUCAUCCCGCGCUGAAUACGUCCCUGCCCUUUGUACACACCGCCCGUCGCUCCUACCGAUUGAGUGGUCCGGUGAGGCUUUGGGAUCUGAGCGGAAAGAGCGUUUCGCUGUUUCUGCUCGGAAAACUCAGUCGAACCUUAUCAUUUAGAGGAAGGAGAAGUCGUAACA